CAGCAGCCGCGGUAAUACGUAGGGGGCAAGCGUUGUCCGGAUUUAUUGGGCGUAAAGAGCGUGUAGGCGGUCAGGUAGGUGGGUUGUGAAAACUGGAGGCUCAACCUUCAGACGUCGACCCAAACCCCCUGGCUAGAGUCCGGAAGAGGAGAGUGGAAUUCCUGGUGUAGCGGUAAAAUGCGCAGAUAUCAGGAAGAACACCCGUGGCGAAGGCGGCUCUCUGGGACGGUACUGACGCUGAGACGCGAAAGCGUGGGGAGCGAACAGGAUUAGAUACCCUGGUAGUCCACGCCGUAAACGAUGGGUGCUAGGUGUGGGGGGUGUCGACUCCCUCCGUGCCGAAGCUAACGCAUUAAGCACCCCGCCUGGGGAGUACGGCCGCAAGGCUAAAACUUAAAGGAAUUGACGG
RNAcentral lists this ribosomal RNA (409 nucleotides) under uncultured bacterium. RNAcentral's name for it is "bacterial SSU rRNA". It matches the Rfam family "Bacterial small subunit ribosomal RNA", at positions 509 to 916 of the family's 1533-position model. The record is from RNAcentral.